Long non-coding RNA from Marmota monax (woodchuck), 1623 nucleotides. RefSeq lists it as uncharacterized. The transcript has 3 exons. The record is from RefSeq and is a predicted model, not a curated record. Lineage: Eukaryota; Metazoa; Chordata; Mammalia; Rodentia; Sciuridae.
AGGAAGGACAAGGUGAAAAAAAGACUUAGCUAACUCAGUACUUACAGAGGGUUUGCUCUACAGAAGUCUUAUCUCAGCACCAGCCCAACAGCGUCCCUGCCCUUUGACCAGGUCUCCCUGUUCUUAGGAAUUCACCCCAAAGAAUGAGGGAAAAGAAGAGAGAGCGCUAACUAGGCAAAAAUGCUCUCUGAGGUGAGUGGGCAGGAGGACUGAGUUCAGAGCCCUGUGUCAAUCAGGUGUUGGAGCCCCAUUCUGCCAGUGGGAGGGUGUCAGCCUCCAGUCCCAUCCAUCCUCCUGGCACCAAGGGUAGGGGUCUAUUUCCCUCUGGACUUUGACCAAAAGGAUGCAGCAGAAAGGAUGUUGUGCCAAUUCUCGGGCUGGUUUUUAGGAUGCCUGGGAAGUUCUGAUUUUGCUCUCUAGGAAGCCAGCCACCAUGGAAAGAAAUCCAGCUAAUCUGCUGCACACCGAACACAUGGAAGGAAAAGAAAAAAAAACCUGGAAGAUGAGAAACCGCACAGGGACAGAAACCCAGCCAGCCCUGGGCCAUUUCAGCCUCCCUUGCUGAGGCACCAGGCAUCGAGUGAACCGUCUUGGAUCCUCCAGCCACGAUACAAAUACACAGGUUGGAACCCUGGGCAGCAGAGACGAGCCAGCUCCACCAAGCCUGUCCAAAUUGUGGGAUCAUGAAGAAACACCUUUAAGAAAAUUGUUAUCUGCAGAUAUGAGUCAGAGAUUAUUACCGGCUCAUCUGCAGGAGGCUUCACAGCCCAUCCUGCUGACAAGAUUCUCCGCCCAGAGGAGCUGACAAGACUCUCUACCCGGAGGGUCAUGUUACUGACCUGAAGUGCAAAAGAAAGUCUGGUGAGUACAAGGACAACAAGUGACUAGAAGAAGCCCAGUGAGUCUGACAACAAAGUCCAGGCUCUGAAGAACUCCCCUUCCUUGGCUCAUGGCUUUGGGGGUUCCUGACUCCCACCAUAGCAACCUUGUCUUACAGUCUUAAAGCCUGCAUGGAGGUUUGCUAAUGCUUCUGACAAAGACCUUUCCUACACUGGCCAGUUAUUCGAGGAAACCAUUUUUACCAGAGUACCUUAAUAAUAAACAUCAUUCCUUCUCUGUGAUAUUUUUACAUUUUCACAAUCUCAUAUGCUAUUGCUCGGUUGAUUCUCAGAACAAAACAACAACAACAACAACAAAACUCAUCCUUCAAGGCUCAAUGGAGCAUUUACCACCAUACCAUGGUGCUUUUGGACUAUCUAUCUGUUUCUGACCCUGAAAAUAAGACCAGGUCUUAUUCACUCCCAAUGAAUGCCAAGCACCAUAUUUGGCUCAUAACAGGUAUUUUAUAAGAGUUUGUGAGUGAAGGAGCACAUUAGACACUCUGCAGAUUCCUGGGUGGGAAAUGAAGGUUUGAAAUCAGGGUUCUUCACUCCAAUUCACCACCACAAGACUUUUUCCAACACCUUGAGCUCGGGCAUUUCAGGUAGUGAGUUCUGUCUGAUAUUUUAUUGCUGAAAAUGGGUGGAAGAGUAGAUAGAGGACAGAAAGGAAGGAAUAAUGGGAGAAAAUGAGAGGAGGUAGUGAGAGAAGGGAUGAGGGACGGGAAGGUGAACAGUGGAUAGA